GAUCAUGGCUCAGAUUGAACGCUGGCGGCAUGCCUUACACAUGCAAGUCGAACGGCAGCACGGGGGCAACCCUGGUGGCGAGUGGCGAACGGGUGAGUAAUACAUCGGAAUGUACCCAGUAGCGGGGGAUAACUACUCGAAAGAGUUGCUAAUACCGCAUACGCCCUAAGGGGGAAAGAGGGGGAUCGCAAGACCUCUCACUAUUGGAGCAGCCGAUGUCAGAUUAGCUUGUUGGUGAGGUAAAAGCUCACCAAGGCGACGAUCUGUACCUGGUCUGAGAGGACGACCAGGCACACUGGGACUGAGACACGGCCCAGACUCCUACGGGAGGCAGCAGUGGGGAAUUUUGGACAAUGGGGGCAACCCUGAUCCAGCAAUGCCGCGUGAGUGAAGAAGGCCUUCGGGUUGUAAAGCUCUUUUGUCGGGGAAGAAACGGUGCUUACUAAUACUAGGCACUACUGACGGUACCCGAAGAAUAAGCACCGGCUAACUACGUG
RNAcentral lists this ribosomal RNA (497 nucleotides) under uncultured bacterium. RNAcentral describes it as "bacterial SSU rRNA". It matches the Rfam family "Bacterial small subunit ribosomal RNA", at positions 15 to 507 of the family's 1533-position model. The record is from RNAcentral.